AUUGAACGCUGGCGGCAGGCCUAACACAUGCAAGUCGAGCGGAUGAAGGGAGCUUGCUCCUGGAUUCAGCGGCGGACGGGUGUGUAAUGCCUAGGAAUCUGCCUGGUAGGGGGGGAUAACGUCCGGAAACGGGCGCUAAUACCGCAUACGUCCUGAGGGAGAAAGUGGGGGAUCUUCGGACCUCACGCUCUCAGAUGAGCCUAGGUCGGAUUAGCUAGUUGGUGGGGUAAAGGCCUACCAAGGCGACGAUCCGUAACUGGUCUGAGAGGAUGAUCGGUCACACUGGAACUGAGACACGGUCCAGACUCCUACGGGAGGCAGCAGUGGGGAAUGUUGGACAAUGGGCGAAAGCCUGAUCCAGCCAUGCCGCGUGUGUGAAGAAGGUCUUCGGAUUGUAAAGCACUUUAAGUUGGGAGGAAGGGCAGUAAGUUAAUACCUUGCUGUUUUGACGUUACCAACAGAAUAAGCACCGGCUAACUUCGUG
This 484-nucleotide ribosomal RNA is filed under the name uncultured bacterium. RNAcentral describes it as "partial 16S ribosomal RNA". It matches the Rfam family "Bacterial small subunit ribosomal RNA", at positions 30 to 507 of the family's 1533-position model. The record is from RNAcentral.